CCGAACGCGGCGGCAGGCCCACACGAUGUAAGUCGAGACGGAUCCUUCGCGAUUAGUGGCGGACGGGUGAGUAACACGUGGGAACGUGCCCUUUGGUUCGGAACAACUCAGGGAAACUUGAGCUAAUACCGGAUGUGCCCUUCGGGGGAAAGAUUUAUCGCCAUUGGAGCGGCCCGCGUCUGAUUAGCUAGUUGGUGGGGUAAAGGCCCACCAAGGCGACGAUCAGUAGCUGGUCUGAGAGGAUGAUCAGCCACAUUGGGACUGAGACACGGCCCAAACUCCUACGGGAGGCAGCAGUGGGGAAUCUUGCGCAAUGGGCGAAAGCCUGACGCAGCCAUGCCGCGUGAAUGAUGAAGGUCUUAGGAUUGUAAAAUUCUUUCACCGGGGACGAUAAUGACGGUACCCGGAGAAGAAGCCCCGGACUAACUUCGUGCCAGCAGCCGCGGUAAU
This 450-nucleotide ribosomal RNA is filed under the name uncultured Caulobacter sp. RNAcentral describes it as "bacterial SSU rRNA". It matches the Rfam family "Bacterial small subunit ribosomal RNA", at positions 30 to 524 of the family's 1533-position model. The record is from RNAcentral. Lineage: Bacteria; Pseudomonadati; Pseudomonadota; Alphaproteobacteria; Caulobacterales; Caulobacteraceae.